This 555-nucleotide ribosomal RNA is filed under the name Vibrio sp. HR08-31. RNAcentral describes it as "bacterial SSU rRNA". It matches the Rfam family "Bacterial small subunit ribosomal RNA", at positions 100 to 651 of the family's 1533-position model. The record is from RNAcentral. Lineage: Bacteria; Pseudomonadati; Pseudomonadota; Gammaproteobacteria; Vibrionales; Vibrionaceae.
GGACGGGUGAGUAAUGCCUAGGAAAUUGCCUUGAUGUGGGGGAUAACCAUUGGAAACGAUGGCUAAUACCGCAUAAUGCCUACGGGCCAAAGAGGGGGACCUUCGGGCCUCUCGCGUCAAGAUAUGCCUAGGUGGGAUUAGCUAGUUGGUGAGGUAAUGGCUCACCAAGGCGACGAUCCCUAGCUGGUCUGAGAGGAUGAUCAGCCACACUGGAACUGAGACACGGUCCAGACUCCUACGGGAGGCAGCAGUGGGGAAUAUUGCACAAUGGGCGAAAGCCUGAUGCAGCCAUGCCGCGUGUAUGAAGAAGGCCUUCGGGUUGUAAAGUACUUUCAGUUGUGAGGAAGGGGGUGUCGUUAAUAGCGGCAUCUCUUGACGUUAGCAACAGAAGAAGCACCGGCUAACUCCGUGCCAGCAGCCGCGGUAAUACGGAGGGNGCGAGCGUUAAUCGGAAUUACUGGGCGUAAAGCGCAUGCAGGUGGUUCAUUAAGUCNGAUGUGAAAGCCCGGGGCUCAACCUCGGAACUGCAUUUGAAACUGGUGAACUANAGUACUG